This 736-nucleotide ribosomal RNA is filed under the name fungal sp. RNAcentral describes it as "eukaryotic LSU rRNA". The stretch from base 470 to 736 matches the Rfam family "Eukaryotic large subunit ribosomal RNA", at positions 1 to 264 of the family's 3401-position model. Lineage: Eukaryota; Fungi. The record is from RNAcentral.
UUACCGAGUGCGGGCCCCUCGGGGCCCAACCUCCCACCCGUGUUGCCCGAACCUAUGUUGCCUCGGCGGGCCCCGCGCCCGCCGACGGCCCCCCUGAACGCUGUCUGAAGUUGCAGUCUGAGACCUAUAACGAAAUUAGUUAAAACUUUCAACAACGGAUCUCUUGGUUCCGGCAUCGAUGAAGAACGCAGCGAAAUGCGAUAACUAAUGUGAAUUGCAGAAUUCAGUGAAUCAUCGAGUCUUUGAACGCACAUUGCGCCCUCUGGUAUUCCGGAGGGCAUGCCUGUCCGAGCGUCAUUGCUGCCCUCAAGCCCGGCUUGUGUGUUGGGCCCCGUCCCCCCCGCCGGGGGGACGGGCCCGAAAGGCAGCGGCGGCACCGCGUCCGGUCCUCGAGCGUAUGGGGCUUCGUCACCCGCUCUAGUAGGCCCGGCCGGCGCCAGCCGACCCCCAACCUUUAAUUAUCUCAGGUUGACCUCGGAUCAGGUAGGGAUACCCGCUGAACUUAAGCAUAUCAAUAAGCGGAGGAAAAGAAACCAACCGGGAUUGCCCUAGUAACGGCGAGUGAAGCGGCAAGAGCUCAAAUUUGAAAGCUGGCCCCCUCGGGGUCCGCAUUGUAAUUUGCAGAGGAUGCUUCGGGAACGGCCCCCAUCUAAGUGCCCUGGAACGGGCCGUCAUAGAGGGUGAGAAUCCCGUCUGGGAUGGGGUGGCCGCGCCCGUGUGAAGCUCCUUCGACGAG